Aedes albopictus (Asian tiger mosquito) is the source of this 879-nucleotide long non-coding RNA. RefSeq lists it as uncharacterized. The transcript has 3 exons. Lineage: Eukaryota; Metazoa; Arthropoda; Insecta; Diptera; Culicidae. The record is from RefSeq and is a predicted model, not a curated record.
AGAUAAUUAAUACAUAGAUUUGCAACUUAUGAAAAUAAUCGGCAACAAAACAGUAGCGCCUAUCAAAGAAUGGUGGUCGACGGGUGAACUAUUCAUUUCCUCCUCCCUGCGCAUUUGUAGCCUGUAAUUUAAGGUAUCCAAGCAACCUUCAAAACAAGGUUUGAAAUUUGUUAUCAUUUAACUCAAACAAGCUGUCAAUUCGCGUUUGUUCGAUUUGAAAUCGAAAAUAAUAUUUCUGAGUACGGCCAAAGUACGGUUUCCGGACCAAACAAUUUAUUGCAGUUCUGGGGAUAACCAGCUCACGCGAUGUGAGAAGUGGGAGAAGACAUGUGACGUGGUCGGCAGUUGAGAAGAUGCUUAUGUUGGCCGCAAACAUUUCGAGACGCAGAUUUCUGAAAAUUGCGUUAAAAGAAUCAAGGGCUGAGACCAAUUGAAUCUCGUCUGAGUGAUACUCAUUUCCAGACUCCAUACACUUCAAGUUCCAUGGAAAUUCAUAAGAAAAUGAUUUCAAAUCUCUUAACGGACGUGGCGGGAGAAUUUGAGAUCGAUCACAGAUCUGUGGAUCGAUGGUACGCGAGAUUCUGCUUCAAAUAUACUUUUGGCGACAAGAUUGUACGACGACCCCAUUAAUUCUUUUUACCAUCUCUUAUUUAUGAAAUUCGUUUAUUAAAUGUGAGAAAUGUAAUCACACUGUACAUUUGUUCUACAUCAACAGUGCCCCUAUGUCUACCAUCUGGAUCAAAACUACUCCUGGGGGUCGUGACCAACUGUGACCAACAGUUCGGAAAAAGAUAAUCCAAACUAAUGACGGGGGAUGGUACUUGCUGAUGCGAGACCUACCAAAACAAAAUUCACCAUUUAAAGUUGAGCAUGUUUACC